AUACGGAGGGUGCAAGCGUUGUCCGGAUUUAUUGGGUUUAAAGGGUGCGUAGGUGGUUUUUUAAGUCAGUGGUGAAAGCCUACAGCUUAACUGUAGAGGUGCCAUUGAAACUGGAAGACUUGAGUAUGGACGAGGUAGGCGGAAUUUGUGGUGUAGCGGUGAAAUGCAUAGAUACCACAAAGAACACCGAUAGCGAAGGCAGCUUACUAGGCCAUAACUGACACUGAGGCACGAAAGUGUGGGGAGCAAACAGGAUUAGAAACCCCAGUAGUCC
Molecule: ribosomal RNA, 274 nt
Filed under: uncultured bacterium
Lineage: Bacteria
Description: partial 16S ribosomal RNA
Rfam family: Bacterial small subunit ribosomal RNA
Source: RNAcentral